This 538-nucleotide ribosomal RNA is filed under the name Fusarium equiseti. RNAcentral's name for it is "eukaryotic LSU rRNA". The stretch from base 171 to 324 matches the Rfam family "5.8S ribosomal RNA". Lineage: Eukaryota; Fungi; Ascomycota; Sordariomycetes; Hypocreales; Nectriaceae. The record is from RNAcentral.
GAACCUGCGGAGGGAUCAUUACCGAGUUUACAACUCCCAAACCCCUGUGAACAUACCUAUACGUUGCCUCGGCGGAUCAGCCCGCGCCCCGUAAAACGGGACGGCCCGCCCGAGGACCCCUAAACUCUGUUUUUAGUGGAACUUCUGAGUAAAACAAACAAAUAAAUCAAAACUUUCAACAACGGAUCUCUUGGUUCUGGCAUCGAUGAAGAACGCAGCAAAAUGCGAUAAGUAAUGUGAAUUGCAGAAUUCAGUGAAUCAUCGAAUCUUUGAACGCACAUUGCGCCCGCCAGUAUUCUGGCGGGCAUGCCUGUUCGAGCGUCAUUUCAACCCUCAAGCUCAGCUUGGUGUUGGGACUCGCGGUAACCCGCGUUCCCCAAAUCGAUUGGCGGUCACGUCGAGCUUCCAUAGCGUAGUAAUCAUACACCUCGUUACUGGUAAUCGUCGCGGCCACGCCGUAAAACCCCAACUUCUGAAUGUUGACCUCGGAUCAGGUAGGAAUACCCGCUGAACUUAAGCAUAUCAAUAAGCGGAGGAA